RNAcentral lists this transfer RNA (72 nucleotides) under Bacteroidota bacterium. Its description in RNAcentral is "Bacteroidetes bacterium (activated sludge metagenome) tRNA-Thr". It matches the Rfam family "tRNA". Rfam says of the family: Transfer RNA (tRNA) molecules are approximately 80 nucleotides in length. Lineage: Bacteria; Pseudomonadati; Bacteroidota. The record is from RNAcentral.
GCUGUUGUAGCUCAGUGGUAGAGUACUUCCUUGGUAAGGAAGAGGUCGGCAGUUCAAUCCUGCUCAACAGCU